This 815-nucleotide long non-coding RNA is filed under the name Trifolium pratense (red clover). Its description in RNAcentral is "long non-coding RNA (TPRA_LNC004144)". Lineage: Eukaryota; Viridiplantae; Streptophyta; Magnoliopsida; Fabales; Fabaceae. The record is from RNAcentral.
AAUUUGGUGAUGAGCUAGGGCAUGGAAGGGAACUCACGGCCAAGCAAGAGAAAGAAGAGGUCUUUGUGAUAUUUUCUAAGUACAAAACAAUGACCAAAGUCAUCCUAUGUAAGGGCAUCAUGAUCAUUCCUAGCCAUAGGAUCAAAUAGUGCCCCUAAAGCAAGAUUAAACCCUAACCAUUGGAUCGAUCCAAGUCUAUCCUCUUAAGAUAUUUUCUUUCUCUCAUGAGAACUCACGCCUCACAGACGAGUCGCAUUACGCUUAUGGACCAAACUCGCGAAACUAGAAAAUUUAGAAACUAAACGUUCGCCUUAAACGAUUUCCAAAAAUUAUCGCGAAAACAUUUUUCCUCGACUGUAAUUUUCUUCCACACUCUCGAAAAUAUUCUAAAGUCAUAUCCCAACUCAAGCCGAUAUAUAAAGUUCCCAUCUAAAAUAUAAACGGAUUCGGAGUUAACGAAAAUUCGGNNNNNNNNNNNNNNNNNNNNNNNNNAAAACAAACCCCGUGCCAUUCCGACACUCGAGCACAAAACAGGCACGAUCUCAGCAAACUAUGUCGUUAUAACGACGAUACUCGAACUAAUAACCUUCGAACCCUAAUUAACCUAUCCACAACCCAUGCUCUUUCAAUCGAAGAACCUAAAAACCAUUCCUUAGCUCAACAAACAAACUUCGGAAUCGAAAUCUACGCGAAAAACUAAGCAAAAUAGGUUCCGGGUGCAAAAAUCCCUAAAAAGUCAACAAAAGUCAACCCUCACAAACCAAGCCUGCGCGCGUUGCGCCAGGACCAGAACCUACAGGAUUAUGGGUCUUACA